This 22-nucleotide ribosomal RNA is filed under the name Rhizopus microsporus. RNAcentral's name for it is "partial 28S ribosomal RNA". RNAcentral also lists the same sequence under 1 other name. Lineage: Eukaryota; Fungi; Mucoromycota; Mucoromycetes; Mucorales; Rhizopodaceae. The record is from RNAcentral.
UACCCGCUGAACUUAAGCAUAU